ACCGUAAAAUAAAUACCGAGUUCUCAGUUUUCGACUAACAUACGUGACGCUUGGUGAUACGCCAUAUUUGUUGGUUGAAUCGUUUUUUCAAGACAAGUCUUUCGUCGUUUUUUUCAAGGUUCAACAAAAAUGUUUCUGACUUCAUUUCGUUCGUCGGUUUUAGAAUUAUCAUUAGCCUGCAUGGAAAUGCAUAACAAUUAUCAGCGCUGUCCCCGAGGUUGUGGCAUAGCGCUAGCCCUUCUUGUGAACCGGAAACAGCGAAAACAUGAGUGAAACAAGUUUGCGGCAAUUAUUAUUAUUCAAACAUGAAGUGUAAUGAAAUUAUACGAAAUAAACGACAUAAAUUUUGAUAAUAGUA
Molecule: long non-coding RNA, 358 nt
Organism: Armigeres subalbatus
Lineage: Eukaryota; Metazoa; Arthropoda; Insecta; Diptera; Culicidae
Exons: 2
Source: RefSeq, a predicted model, not a curated record